CGAUCCAGCUACAAACACUCCACAGGUUGGCCAGGCUUCUCUUGAUUCGGAGAUGCAAACUAUGUUAGCUCUACGCGAAUAUUUGUGUGGUCUGCAAUCUGACACCGGCAGGACCAUAAUAGAUUAUGGUGAAUAUUCAGCGACAUGUUCUGACAUAUAUGAAUCUUUUGCCGAUGGGAAGUGUCUCGACAAUGUAUUCAUGCAGUGUUUCAUCCAAUGUGUUAUUGAUGAUGCAAAAAAUCAGCAGACUUCCAUGAGUUCGAACAGUUUGGUUCUUGAUGUUAAUGUUGGGUCAAUACUCAACUUUGAGGAACAGGAACGACACAGUCGCAACCCUCAACCUUUUGAUGAAUCUGUACUCCACACACUUCUAGACAAUU
Zea mays is the source of this 380-nucleotide long non-coding RNA. RefSeq lists it as uncharacterized. NCBI's taxonomy places the organism in Eukaryota, Viridiplantae, Streptophyta, Magnoliopsida, Poales, Poaceae. The transcript is spliced from 3 exons. The record is from RefSeq and is a predicted model, not a curated record.